This 209-nucleotide ribosomal RNA is filed under the name Ilyonectria sp. RNAcentral's name for it is "partial large subunit ribosomal RNA". Lineage: Eukaryota; Fungi; Ascomycota; Sordariomycetes; Hypocreales; Nectriaceae. The record is from RNAcentral.
AAGCGCUCAUGACCAGACUUGGGCUUGGUUGAUCAUCCAGGGUUCUCCCUGGUGCACUCUUCCAGCCCAGGCCAGCAUCAGUUCGCUGUGGGGGAUAAAGGCUUUGGGAAUGUGGCUCCUCCGGGAGUGUUAUAGCCCAUUGUGUAAUACCCUGUGGUGGACUGAGGUUCGCGCAUCUGCAAGGAUGCUGGCGUAAUGGUCAUCAGCGA